This 348-nucleotide unclassified non-coding RNA is filed under the name soil metagenome. Its description in RNAcentral is "partial contains 5.8S ribosomal RNA, internal transcribed spacer 2, and large subunit ribosomal RNA". The stretch from base 1 to 120 matches the Rfam family "5.8S ribosomal RNA", at positions 35 to 154 of the family's 154-position model. The record is from RNAcentral.
GAUGAAGAACGUAGCAAAAUGCGAUAAGUAAUGUGAAUUGCAGAAUUCAGUGAAUCAUCGAAUCUUUGAACGCACAUUGCGCCCGCUGGUAUUCCGGCGGGCAUGCCUGUUCGAGCGUCAUUUCACCCCUCAAGCCCCCGGGUUUGGUGUUGGGGAUCGGCUCUGCCCUUCUGGGCGGUGCCGCCCCCGAAAUACAUUGGCGGUCUCGCUGCAGCCUCCAUUGCGUAGUAGCUAACACCUCGCAACUGGAACGCGGCGCGGCCAUGCCGUAAAACCCCAACUUCUGAAUGUUGACCUCGGAUCAGGUAGGAAUACCCGCUGAACUUAAGCAUAUCAAUAAGCGGAGGA